AGUGAACGCUGGCGGUAGGCCUAACACAUGCCAGUCGAACGGCAGCACAGUAAGAGCUUGCUCUUACGGGUGGCGAGUGGCGGACGGGUGAGGAAUACAUCGGAAUCUACUUUUUCGUGGGGGAUAACGUAGGGAAACUUACGCUAAUACCGCAUACGACCUACGGGUGAAAGCAGGGGAUCUUCGGACCUUGCGCGAUUGAAUGAGCCGAUGACGGAUUAGCUAGUUGGCGGGGUAAAGGCCCACCAAGGCGACGAUCCGUAGCUGGUCUGAGAGGAUGAUCAGCCACACUGGAACUGAGACACGGUCCAGACUCCUACGGGAGGCAGCAGUGGGGAAUAUUGGACAAUGGGCGCAAGCCUGAUCCAGCCAUACCGCGUGGGUGAAGAAGGCCUUCGGGUUGUAAAGCCCUUUUGUUGGGAAAGAAAAGCAGCAGGUUAAUACCCCGCUGUUCUGACGGUACCCAAAGAAUAAGCACCGGCUAACUUCGUG
Molecule: ribosomal RNA, 492 nt
Filed under: uncultured bacterium
Lineage: Bacteria
Description: partial 16S ribosomal RNA
Rfam family: Bacterial small subunit ribosomal RNA
Source: RNAcentral